This 47-nucleotide small RNA is filed under the name Arabidopsis thaliana (thale cress). Its description in RNAcentral is "ATSL058250". The record is from RNAcentral. Lineage: Eukaryota; Viridiplantae; Streptophyta; Magnoliopsida; Brassicales; Brassicaceae.
AAUUAUUUUUUGUCCAUUUCAAGCAAAACAUUAAUUAACCUUUUUCA